Molecule: non-coding RNA, 1388 nt
Organism: Triticum urartu
Lineage: Eukaryota; Viridiplantae; Streptophyta; Magnoliopsida; Poales; Poaceae
Source: RefSeq, a predicted model, not a curated record
GCCAAUUGAACGGCUGUGAUUCAAUGUUCUGCCGCGGCAGACCAUAGUCGGGCACUCCCCCUGAUGACCGAUGUGAUCCGUAAUUUUAGGAUCAUCCUCAACCUCCCUCCCCUUGAAUUCGCACAGAUUUGCUCCAUCCCUAACCUCCCCGGCGCCCUACCGCCUCCUCCCCUCAUCACCGCCCCUCGCCAGCCGUCCGUCCUGCAUGCAGACUCUCGCUGCCGACCCCGUCUGGUCUACCCGCAGACCCGCCGCUCCCUCUUCGCCGUCCUUCAGUUCUGCCCCUGCCGCCCCUCUCUCUUGCAGCGGAGCAGAAGCGGAAGCGCCGGGAGAAGAUCAACCGACAAUUCGUUGAGCUAUCCACCGUCAUCCCCGGCCUCAAGAAGUACGUCAAGCAGUAGCAGGAAAAUCUCAAGGCACUCGAGGACGCAACCUCCAGAGCAUCCAGUCCACGGUGCUCAUCAGGAAGUUGUGCAUAGCUGCGCCCUUAAGACGUCGGCGGCUGCUGCCCGUCAUCGUCUGCAGCGGCCGUAGCUGGAAUCACGACGCCAACGACCGGGAAAGUGCUGAUGGAGGCGAGAAGGACAGUUGGAGUCACCGGCGUCGCUUAUGGAGCUCCACACCAUUGCCCAGUUGUACAAUAGCAUGUGCAAUCUUCUCCAUUCAAGACUAAGUGCAAAUUGUGAACUCUUUGCCAAACAAGAAGAUAUGAGGAUCAGGCAUAUAGGCCCCCAUAAGGAACGUGGAGAGAUGAAUCUGGUCGAUUGUAGCCACAAGGGAUACUGCUGUAGUAUUUGGGAGAAAGAGUACGUCUGCACGUGAUGGUGAUAUGCCAAAGUUUUGUAUUUCCUAGAUAAAUUUGCUACAUGGGAAGAUUCCUCAAUGGCAACAAUACACCAUGAUAGUGAUAAUGAUAUACAUCCUAUGCUGAACAAGAGCAAGACAGAAAAGAGUAAAAGAUUGUCUCCGAAGUAAUUACGGAUUGCUUCCAGUGAUUUUCAAUUCCAAGUAAUAAGGAAUAUAAGGUUACAAUUCAUCACCUGAAAAAACAGAUCUUUGUAGUCAUAGUAAUGUCUUCUCCAAUUGACCAUACCCUUAAGCAUUUGAUGAAAGUGGAUAUAUCAUCAAGAGCCUUGCAAGCAAAUUUAUCUACAAUAGGAAACACACGAUGAUGACAUAUCAGAUAUUCCAAAUCACUAUAUGAAAUGUUUAAUGUUUACUUCCCCUUGUAACGUUAGCUUAUCUAGCAAAUUUCUGUUAUUCUGUACAUCUGAUUGAUAAGUUUCAAAUAGUACAGGAACCAGAUAUCCUAGAGUAGGGAUCAACACUAAUUACACCUCUUGACACGCUCAUUUGAAAGUCAAGUAUAUUUAUGCAGCAAUGCCUUA